Molecule: non-coding RNA, 3572 nt
Organism: Cricetulus griseus (Chinese hamster)
Lineage: Eukaryota; Metazoa; Chordata; Mammalia; Rodentia; Cricetidae
Source: RefSeq, a predicted model, not a curated record
AGUGGCCCCACGGUGCUAUUACACCCACAGUAAGAAACCCUGGCCAGCUAUGGCUCCAAGCUAGGCUCUGGGUGCAGCCUGACAAGAAUCUCUUCCUACUGGACCUGGCAGGUCAGUGUUCAGUCUUCUGCAUCUUGGUGCCUGAGCUUAGGGUGCCCAUGGUAUGUGCUGGGCCUGCAGUGGCCGAGGUUCUGGGUAGAGAGCCUGGAAUCCAUGGUGUGGAGGCAGAAGAAACACCUUUGGCCCCUCUUGUUUGCCGUACCCUUAUGCCAACCAGAAAGAUAAUUGUCCUUGUGGAGCCCCAAAACAUAGGACUGGUUCCUGAGUGUAAGAUAAAUGUAAAAGAGGUAGGAGGUGACCUCAGUUGGUGUGACUUUGGCUGCUGACAUUAAAGGUGGUAGUGGUGGCAGUAGCAAAUCACAAACUGCAGUGUCUAAUGUGUACCUGACGCGGUGCUAGGAGCUUCAAGUGCACUGACUUGUUUUAGCUACGCCUCCCAUCAACCCCUUCAGCUAAACCCAGUUAUUCCUUGUUUAUAGAAUUUAAAUAGCUUGCAUGGGGUCAAAGGGCUAGAAAAUGUCGGUCAAUAAGUUUUCAACCUUGUCUGCACCUGCAGAAUCACAGACAGCUAGACAGCUUGGCUUAUCCAGAGAGCCCCAUGUUCCGGGGCUGGUGUGAGCAUUUGCACUUCUAACAGCUCCCCAGGAGCUGCUGGGCUCUGGGUCCAGGAGCCACAUUUUCAGACUCAUUGAUGUGCUGUCAUAGGAGGUCCCCGUGAAACUGGCUGGAAAUAGGAUUUAUAUAGCAAAGAAGCCCACAGGCCUUGAUACAAGGGCUGGCAGUAGCUCUUCAAAGUGUAAGGACCCAGUCCUGCUCCUUUGUGUCACUCCGCCACAGGCUGUAUACCUCUCUUGACAUCAGGCUCCCUUGUGUGGCCGCAAGAUAUCUGUGUGCAUUCCAGUUGGCACACACUAUAGGGCCCUAUCCAGCAGCACACUGUAGGGCCCUAUCCAGCAGCACACUGUAGGGCCCUGUUCUUACUGUGUGUCUCUUUAAGAGUGAAGGAACCUUUAAUUUAUGCCCCACCUCCUGAUUCCUCUCAGGUCUCCUGGGAUAGCGUUGUGACAAAUAACCUAACACAUAACCCUGCCUGGACAAAUCAGAGGCCAGGGCCAAUCAGGGUUCAUUCCUUUGGGUUGGGGGCGUGGCUGUGGGGAUAGAGUCAGAGCACUGCUCAGGAAGAGACAGUGAGUGGAUUGGCUGUAGAAACGGUGGAAGAUUAGGACACGGCAUCAAGCAUGUUCCUGUUCUUGUUUCCCUUAUGAGAUUCCUAAUAACCUCAUUGACUUAGCUGCAGGCUCUUUAAUCAUGUCCCCUUGAAAACCUGUGCACAGUCCCUAUCCCCAAGGAGCCCUGAAUUGUGUUGGCUACCAAACAUUUUUGUCUGAAAAUUUAGGGACACUCAAGUUGGGCAGCAACACUGGAGGUGAGUGUGCAUGCUUUUUGAGAGCUCACUCUGCUCCUCCCCUGCACCCCCCCCCCCACUUCUGACUGAGAUGCUUCUUUCUCACAGAGGCUCAUCUCUGAGGGCCCUGGAGGGCUGGUGCAUGAAUGAGAGGAGACAUGCAGGUGAAGUGCAGAUUGCCAGUGGCCAGCUCAAGGUUGUGAGCUCUGACAUCCCAUCCCCAACCAUCUCUGAGAGCGAUACUCCUUUUGUAGACUGUGACUACCUGCCUGUGGACAGCGGUUGCCCUGAGAGACAGCAGCAAGGCUGAGGAAUGUAGCCCAGCCUGUGAGCAAAUCCUGGGUCCUCCUUGGCCCCCUAUUGAUCUUGGGCAAGCCCCCGGGCCCCACAGUGUCCGUUUCUGUUUCUGUAAGGUGGAGCCGGGAACGAUCCAUCCUCCUAAAUUGGAGGGAUUGAGGUUUGUGAAAUCCUGUGACAUGUUCAACAUGCCCCAUGGGCGUGGAUCUGUUGGUUGCAGGGGUUUUUUUGUUUGUUUGUUUUUUGUUUUUUGUUUUUGUUUUUGCCAGUUUAUUCUCAGGUGACUGAAAGUCCCCUGCAUGCAAGAGCAGCAUGGUUCUUGUUUACCACAGUGUCUGGUUCAGAAUGCAUACUCCAAUUUGUUUGAUGAAGACUGUAGCAAGAGUCUUGCCUUUUAAUUUUGGUUUGCUGUGACAGUGUCUAAUGCUGUAGACCAGUCUGAGCUUGAGCUCAGAGCAAUUCCUCUUGCCUCAGCCUCCCAAAUGCUGAGAUUACAGGCAGGUGCCAUCACACCUAGCAAUAGUCUUUAUAUAUUUCCACCAGAUGGCCAGAGGUUAAGCUCCAUAAGUGUGAGCCAGUUGUUUUCCAUUUUGAAGGCUCAGGUGUGAGCAGCUUGUAAUAACACAGCUGAGGGUUUUUGAACUGUUUGGUUGGUUUUUUUUUUUUUUUUUUUUGAGACAGUUUCAUAUAGCUCAGGCUAGUCUUGAACGUGCUUAUGUAGCUGUGAAUGGCCUUGACCUGCUCCUACCCCCCUCUUCCAAUGCUGAGAUUAUAGUCAUAAACUACUGUACCCCAUUUGUUAUUGAGCAUUUUAAUGGGCCAGAGCUGUGAUCUCACUGCCUGCUGUCACUAACCCAAGGUGGCCGCGGCUCUUUCCAGGGGCAGAUUAGCACAGUGGUCAAAAGCUGGAACCUGCUUUGCUUGGGUAAUCACCUCUUGUUGUGUGACCUCCAUCCUGUGACAGGCAUGAUGGUGGCUCUGACAUAGGGGUUGCCUGUGGGGCUCUGGAUAGGUUGCAAUGUUUAGAGCGGCACUCCCCCCGCCCCCCAGCUGUGCUUCCAAAGCUGGCUGGAGAGUCUCGCCACAAGGUUUAAUCAUUAAGCCCGCAUGCAGCCUCUGCAGCUAGCACGGUGAGGGGCCCACCUGUGGCUGGGCAGGCUAUGAAUGAAGCUGCCGGGCGCAGGACGGGGGAUGCUGUGGCACGGAUCCAGCCCCGGCUCAGCACUGAACAGGUGGCCUGUUCCUGAAUGGGAGGUAACAGUCAAGCUUUGUUACCUCUGCUCUUUCUCCCCAACUCAUUCAGACCCAUGACCACGUGUCUGAUGAGUAAGGGAUCCUUUUAUUUCCCUUCCCCAAAGGGAAUAUUGGCAAAACAGCCUCUCUGGGAAUGUGCCUGUGUGCAGAGAGCCAUCUCUAGGGGAACUCCGGUAGCUGGUGUGGCCUCGAGGCCGCUGAAUAAGUUUUAAGUCUCUGUUAGAAGCUGGCACGGCUGGUUCCCGUUUCCGCAUUCCAAACACCCACAGCGCCAGAGGAGGCACCACCCUGGGUCAGCCUAGGGAGCUGGGGCAGGUGGCCCGUGCCUAGGGAAAACCAGGGACAGAAGCCACACCUGGGUCCAACCUAGUAGCCACCAGCCACCAGCCACCAGCCGGCAUUGUGAUCAGGGCUGUGUUCCAGGACUCCUGGUGCAUCGCCUUUGACCUUGGCUCUGCCUUUGACCUAGGCUCUCGUGAGACCUGAAAGGCACACUGGGCAAACUGAGCAUGGCUGGGAAGAUGCCUGCCCCACCCACACAGCAUGGCCUGCAGCC